CAAUUGUAAUUUUAAAAACCCUAACCCUAGCUCCGAUCAAACAGAAUGCAGAAACAGCCACCGCACACGGCGGAUUCCGGCAUGCCAAACCUCGCGAACAUCAAAAUCAAGUGUUCAUCACCACGUUUUCCACCACCGACAACUCCUUCCGCCACCGACACUCCGACCGCCGGUGCGCAGCGCAAAAUUGGAAUCGCCGUUGAUCUUAGUGACGAAUCUGCCUUCGCCGUCAAGUGGGCUGUCCACCACUACCUCCGUCCUGGUGACGCAGUUAUCCUUGUCCACGUCCGCCCUACCUCCGUACUCUACGGUGCUGAUUGG
RNAcentral lists this unclassified non-coding RNA (321 nucleotides) under Hevea brasiliensis (rubber tree). Lineage: Eukaryota; Viridiplantae; Streptophyta; Magnoliopsida; Malpighiales; Euphorbiaceae. The record is from RNAcentral.